This 72-nucleotide transfer RNA is filed under the name Ictidomys tridecemlineatus (thirteen-lined ground squirrel). Its description in RNAcentral is "Spermophilus tridecemlineatus (thirteen-lined ground squirrel) tRNA". It matches the Rfam family "tRNA". Rfam says of the family: Transfer RNA (tRNA) molecules are approximately 80 nucleotides in length. Their secondary structure includes four short double-helical elements and three loops (D, anti-codon, and T loops). Further hydrogen bonds mediate the characteristic L-shaped molecular structure. tRNAs have two regions of fundamental functional importance: the anti-codon, which is responsible for specific mRNA codon recognition, and the 3' end, to which the tRNAs corresponding amino acid is attached (by aminoacyl-tRNA synthetases). tRNAs cope with the degeneracy of the genetic code in two manners: having more than one tRNA (with a specific anti-codon) for a particular amino acid; and 'wobble' base-pairing, i.e. permitting non-standard base-pairing at the 3rd anti-codon position. Lineage: Eukaryota; Metazoa; Chordata; Mammalia; Rodentia; Sciuridae. The record is from Rfam by way of RNAcentral.
AGGGUUGUGGCUCAGUGGUAGAGUGCUCACCUUGCAUGUGCAAGGCCUGGGGUUCAAUCCUCAGCAACACAU